Molecule: long non-coding RNA, 326 nt
Filed under: Vitis vinifera (wine grape)
Lineage: Eukaryota; Viridiplantae; Streptophyta; Magnoliopsida; Vitales; Vitaceae
Description: long non-coding RNA (VVIN_LNC006051)
Source: RNAcentral
UUGCCAAGUAGCUACGGGCGUAGUUGAGGGGGCAGUCGAGGGCGGAGCGAAUUGAAGUGGAGAUGAGCCCCGCCACGGCGGAGUCAUCGAAGCUGUAGACUUGGAAGCGGAGGUAGGGGAAGGUGGUGGAGAUGGUGGCGCGUAGGAGGGACGCGUUGGAGGAGGCGGAGGCCACGAAGUGGAAGACGACGUUUUGGGGACAAGAGGAGUGCUGGAGAACUGAGAGGAUGGCGGCCACCGAGCCUCGGAUGUAUGCAGUGUCAAGGGUCAUUGCUACAUGGACGGCGAGGUCCGAACAUAUGUAGCCACCGUUGCUGUCCUCUUCC